AACGAACGCUGGCGGCAGGCCUAACACAUGCAAGUCGAACGCUCCGCAAGGGGAGUGGCGCACGGGUGAGUAACACGUGGGAACCUACCUUCUGGUACGGAACAACCAAGGGAAACUUUGGCUAAGACCGUAUACGACCUCCGGGUGAAAGAUUGAUCGCCGGAAGAGGGGCCCGCGUCCGAUUAGGUAGUUGGUGAGGUAACGGCUCACCAAGCCUUCGAUCGGUAGCUGGUCUGAGAGGAUGACCAGCCACACUGGGACUGAGACACGGCCCAGACUCCUACGGGAGGCAGCAGUGGGGAACAUUGGACAAUGGGCGCAAGCCUGAUCCAGCCAUGCCGCGUGAGUGAUGAAGGCCU
This 359-nucleotide ribosomal RNA is filed under the name uncultured bacterium. Its description in RNAcentral is "bacterial SSU rRNA". It matches the Rfam family "Bacterial small subunit ribosomal RNA", at positions 29 to 417 of the family's 1533-position model. The record is from RNAcentral.